Long non-coding RNA from Aplysia californica (California sea hare), 265 nucleotides. RefSeq lists it as uncharacterized. NCBI's taxonomy places the organism in Eukaryota, Metazoa, Mollusca, Gastropoda, Aplysiida, Aplysiidae. The record is from RefSeq and is a predicted model, not a curated record. The transcript has 3 exons.
UCUCUCUUGCAGUUCAGAACACCCUUCCGGCAACAAGUCCAGCCACGCCACCCAGUAAGAACUGCGGAGCAGGCUGGGAGGACGACCCCAACAGUGACAGCUGCUACCAGAUCAACACAGAGCUUCUCUCCUGGCUGGAUGCCAGACACGCAUGUCAGUCGGCCGGAGGGGACCUGGCCACUAUCUCGAACGUACAGGAGCAGUUUUAUCUCUCAGGACGCUCACUGAGCCUAGACGCUGACUUUCUGUGGAUCGGAGCCAACGA